This 400-nucleotide ribosomal RNA is filed under the name uncultured bacterium. Its description in RNAcentral is "bacterial SSU rRNA". It matches the Rfam family "Bacterial small subunit ribosomal RNA", at positions 43 to 441 of the family's 1533-position model. The record is from RNAcentral.
CAGGCCUAACACAUGCAAGUCGAGCGGUAACACAGAGAGCUUGCUCUCGGGUGACGAGCGGCGGACGGGUGAGUAAUGUCUGGGAAACUGCCUGAUGGAGGGGGAUAACUACUGGAAACGGUAGCUAAUACCGCAUAAUGUCGCAAGACCAAAGAGGGGGACCUUCGGGCCUCUUGCCAUCAGAUGUGCCCAGAUGGGAUUAGCUAGUAGGUGGGGUAACGGCUCACCUAGGCGACGAUCGCUAGCUGGUCUGAGAGGAUGACCAGCCACACUGGAACUGAGACACGGUCCAGACUCCUACGGGAGGCAGCAGUGGGGAAUAUUGCACAAUGGGCGCAAGCCUGAUGCAGCCAUGCCGCGUGUAUGAAGAAGGCCUUCGGGUUGUAAAGUACUUUCAGCG